Molecule: transfer RNA, 88 nt
Filed under: Candidatus Tritonobacter lacicola
Lineage: Bacteria; Pseudomonadati; Candidatus Auribacterota; Candidatus Tritonobacteria; Candidatus Tritonobacterales; Candidatus Tritonobacteraceae
Description: tRNA-Leu
Rfam family: tRNA
About the family: Transfer RNA (tRNA) molecules are approximately 80 nucleotides in length. Their secondary structure includes four short double-helical elements and three loops (D, anti-codon, and T loops).
Source: RNAcentral
GCCGAAGUGGCGGAACAGGCAGACGCGCUACGUUCAGGGCGUAGUCCCGCUUAUCGGGGUGGGGGUUCGAAUCCCCCCUUCGGCACCA